This 226-nucleotide long non-coding RNA is filed under the name Salvia miltiorrhiza (redroot sage). Its description in RNAcentral is "long non-coding RNA (SMIL_LNC003350)". Lineage: Eukaryota; Viridiplantae; Streptophyta; Magnoliopsida; Lamiales; Lamiaceae. The record is from RNAcentral.
AAAAUAUAGGGGAAGGCCCAAAUCCCUCCCCCUCAAACUCGUCCCUCUCACCCUCUCAAACCAGUCGCACGCCUCCUUCUCCCUCUCACUCUCGACUCGCCUUCAGACGAGGCUCCGCCGCCGCGACUCCGGCGCGGCCGCGCCUGGCCGAGGGCGGCGCCUCUCGUCCAUCUCACUCUCUCCUCUCGAAACUCCUCUCUCUCAAAAAUCAGAACGCCUCUCUCUC